UGGGGAAUAUUGCACACUGGAGGGAACUCUGAUGCAGCGACGCCGCGUGAACGAAGAAGGCUUUCGAGUCGUAAAGUUCUUUUAUAUGGGAAGAUAAUGACGGUACCAUAAGAAAAAGCCCCGGCUAACUACGUGCCAGCAGCCGCGGUAAUACGUAGGGGGCUAGCGUUGUCCGGAAUCACUGGGCGUAAAGGGUUCGCAGGCGGAAAUGCAAGUCAGGUGUAAAAGGCAGUAGCUUAACUACUGUAAGCAUUUGAAACUGCAUAUCUUGAGAAGAGUAGAGGUAAGUGGAAUUUUUAGUGUAGCGGUGAAAUGCGUAGAUAUUAAAAAGAAUACCGGUGGCGAAGGCGACUUACUGGGCUCAUUCUGACGCUGAGGAACGAAAGCGUGGGUAGCAAACAGG
RNAcentral lists this ribosomal RNA (403 nucleotides) under bacterium. RNAcentral's name for it is "partial 16S ribosomal RNA". It matches the Rfam family "Bacterial small subunit ribosomal RNA", at positions 355 to 776 of the family's 1533-position model. The record is from RNAcentral.